This 371-nucleotide ribosomal RNA is filed under the name uncultured organism. RNAcentral's name for it is "bacterial SSU rRNA". It matches the Rfam family "Bacterial small subunit ribosomal RNA", at positions 526 to 896 of the family's 1533-position model. The record is from RNAcentral.
CGAACCGUCCAAACGUUAUUCGGAAUUACUGGGCUUAAAGGGUAUGUAGGCGGCGCUGUUAGUCGGGUGUGAAAUCCCUCGGCUCAACCGAGGAAUUGCGCCCGAUACUGCAGUGCUUGAGGGAGACAGAGGUAAGCGGAACUGAUGGUGGAGCGGUGAAAUGCGUUGAUAUCAUCAGGAACACCGGUGGCGAGAGCGGCUUACUGGGUCUCUUCUGACGCUGAGAUACGAAAGCUAGGGGAGCGAAGGGGAUUAGAUACCCCCGUAGUCCUAGCUGUAAACGUUGAGCACUUGAUCGGGGACCCCCCAUAGGUUCUCGGUCGUAGCGAAAGUGUUAAGUGCUCCGCCUGGGGAGUAUGGUCGCAAGGCUG